GUGCCAGCCGCCGCGGUAAUACGUAGGGGGCAAGCGUUGUCCGGAAUCAUUGGGCGUAAAGAGCGUGUAGGCGGCCUGGUAAGUCCGCUGUGAAAGUCCAGGGCUCAACCCUGGAAUGCCGGUGGAAACUGUCAGGCUCGAGUCCGGAAGAGGCGAGUGGAAUUCCUGGUGUAGCGGUGAAAUGCGCAGAUAUCAGGAGGAACACCAAUGGCGAAGGCAGCUCGCUGGGACGGUACUGACGCUGAGACGCGAAAGCGUGGGGAGCAAACAGGAUUAGAAACCCGCGUAGUCC
RNAcentral lists this ribosomal RNA (292 nucleotides) under uncultured bacterium. Its description in RNAcentral is "partial 16S ribosomal RNA". It matches the Rfam family "Bacterial small subunit ribosomal RNA", at positions 505 to 796 of the family's 1533-position model. The record is from RNAcentral.